Molecule: ribosomal RNA, 702 nt
Filed under: uncultured archaeon
Lineage: Archaea
Description: bacterial SSU rRNA
Rfam family: Archaeal small subunit ribosomal RNA
Source: RNAcentral
GGAAUGGUUUUUGAUCAAAAUCUAUAUGGCCUUUGGAUUGGACUGCGUCCGAUCAGGCUGUUGGUGAGGUAAUGGCCCACCAAACCUGUAACCGGUACGGGCUCUGAGAGGAGGAGCCCGGAGAUGGGUACUGAGACAAGGACCCAGGCCCUAUGGGGCGCAGCAGGCGCGAAACCUCUGCAAUAGGCGAAAGCCUGACAGGGUUACUCUGAGUGACUUUCGCUAAGAAAGUCUUUUGACACCUCUAAAAAUGGUGUAGAAUAAGGGGUGGGCAAGUCUGGUGUCAGCCGCCGCGGUAAUACCAGCACCCCGAGUGGUCGGGACGAUUAUUGGGCCUAAAGCAUCCGUAGCCGGUUUUACAAGUCCUCCGUUAAAUCCAGCUGCUUAACAGAUGGGCUGCGGAGGAUACUAUAAGACUAGGAGGCAGGAGAGGCAAGCGGUACUCAGUGGGUAGGGGUAAAAUCCGUUGAUCCAUUGAAGACCACCAGUGGCGAAGGCGGCUUGCCAGAAUGCGCUCGACGGUGAGGGAUGAAAGCUGGGGGAGCAAACCGGAUUAGAUACCCGGGUAGUCCCAGCUGUAAACGAUGCAGACUCGGUGAUGGACUAGCUUUAUGCUAGUCCAGUGCCGCAGGGAAGCCGUUAAGUCUGCCGCCUGGGUAGUACGGUCGCAAGACUGAAACUUAAAGGAAUUGGCGGGGGAGC